ACUCCUACGGGAGGCAGCAGUGGGAAUAUUGCACAAUGGGAAACCGUAGCAUGCAGCCAUGCCGCGUGUGUGAAGAAGGCCUUCGGGUUGUAAAGCACUUUCAGUAGGGAGGAAGGUAGUGUAGUUAACACCUGCAUUAUUUGACGUUACCUACAGAAGAAGCACCGGCUAACUCCGUGCCAGCAGCCGCGGUAAUACGGAGGGUGCGAGCGUUAAUCGGAAUUACUGGGCGUAAAGCGCAUGCAGGCGGCCUGUUAAGUCAGAUGUGAAAG
RNAcentral lists this ribosomal RNA (272 nucleotides) under uncultured bacterium. RNAcentral's name for it is "partial 16S ribosomal RNA". It matches the Rfam family "Bacterial small subunit ribosomal RNA", at positions 335 to 600 of the family's 1533-position model. The record is from RNAcentral.